This 44055-nucleotide long non-coding RNA is filed under the name Brachypodium distachyon (stiff brome). Its description in RNAcentral is "long non-coding RNA (BDIS_LNC000148)". The stretch from base 25441 to 25526 matches the Rfam family "MIR7729 microRNA precursor family". The record is from RNAcentral. Lineage: Eukaryota; Viridiplantae; Streptophyta; Magnoliopsida; Poales; Poaceae.
CUUCCUAUCGGUUUUAACUUUUAGGAACACUCUUAGGAUCCAUCCUUCUAAUGUAGAUAUUGUUAAUGAAAUCGAGAGCACUACAUCUGAAAAAAAUCGACAUGCAUGUGACAACACAGUGCCGAGGCCAAUAUUGUUUUUUCUGCGUGAUGGCCUGAUCCCUUUUGCAAUCAUAUUGGUUAGCUAAUACCUACUUCCUCCGUUUCUAAGUGCAAGACGUUCUAGUUUUGUCUUAAGUCAAACAUCUUAAAGUUUGGUCAAAUUUAUUAAAAAUUAUCAAAUCUACAUCUUUAAAUUGUUUAUUAAAUCCGUCAUGAUAUACAUUUUUUUUACAAUAUGCAUAUUUGAUAUUAUAGAUCAAUAUCAGUAUAUAUAUUUUUCUAUAAAUCUGCUCAAACUUGAAGAAGUCUGACUUAGGACAAAGCUAAAACAUCUUACAUUUUGGAACAGUGGUAGUGCUAUUAAUGACAGAAAUUCACGUGUGCAUGCAGAGCAAGGAAACAAACCAAUUUUCUAGUCAAUUUUUCCAAACAAAUCAGACACAGAAAUGUCCACGUCUUACAAGUCUUGAAAACUUUUAGAUAAAAAGGAUUAGUUUUGCAUCUACGUAGACAAGACAAAUUUAGGUAUCACAAUUUUGUUCUUUAUUGAGGGCACAAAAUGCUUUGUUUGGUUGACUCGGUCCGAAUGUUAGUAUGCUACGGGCGCCACAGCUAAUUAAGUACGUAGUAUGUAGUGGUAUUUUGUCUUUUAUAAGAGUAGAAAUUUCCGGAUCCUUAGUUGUGUCAAGGGCCAAAAUAUUGAUCUUAGGCCUCCUUUGAUUCAAAGGAUUUUCAUAAGAAUUUUGUAGGGUUGAAAUUCUUAGGAAUUUUUCUUAUAUUGGUCGUUUGAUUCGUACGAUUGAAUUCUAUAGGAAUUUUUCCAAAGGAUUCAUUUGUACUAAAUUUCAUAGGAAAUUUUCCAUCCACUUCAAUCUCUUGGUAAAAUUCCUUUGGUGUAAUCAAACAAACUUUGGGGCAAACAAAAUCUAUAGUAUUCAAGUGGACAUGACAUAGCAAUCCUUCAUUUUUCCUUUCCAAUAUUUUUCCAAUCCUACGAAUCAAAAGAGGAGCAAUUCUUCAUUUUUCCUAUUCCAAUAUUUUUCCAAUCGUACGAAUCAAAAGAGGUCCUUAGUUCCCUUUUUGUUUGUUUCCAGAUUCUGUAGGAGUACUGAUCAGUACCCACUUUACACACUUUUUUCAAAUAUAUUUGGUGCUGAUCAUAUUUGAAUUUGGCAGAUUUGAAUUUGAAUUCAAAUUAUUUAAACCAAAAAAAACUUAAACUCUGCAUGCUACAACACUUUUACAUUUAUAUGUAGGUUUGGUGCGAAAAGGCACCUUUUCUCUACAUCAUGCUGCAUCAGGGACGAAAAGAGAAGAAGAAGAAGAAAAGAGAACAAAACGUAACUAAGCAAAAAGUAGAGAAGAACACUUUAGAAGCUGUACUUAGAUGCAAAAGGAUGCAAAAAGAAGAGGAUCUGCUUAUGUGUCAAGAAGAAUUAGGAAGGGGUAAAGUGCAUAAGCUAAAGUUGAUGUUAAUUGUUCAUGUAUCCAUUAGAGAGGGCCAAGGAAAAAGGCAUUAAGGAAAGGCAGCCCCUCUCUCUCGAGGCAUCCACAGCCAGCACUCACUUUCUCUCCAAGCCAGCCCAGGGAUGGGUUGGUGAGAUCUGAAGCUCGAAGACACCUUUUCAUGGCUUCCUCUCUUCUUCUCUUCCUCGGUUCAUAGUGUUCUAAGCCACAGGUCUUUCCCAUAUUCCAUUCCUUUGCUGAAUUUGCUGCUAUAUCCCUCUGUAACAGAAUCUCUGCCCUGUCUUUAGUCUGAACCUUGCUAAUUCUUGCUGUUCUUGGCUGUAAACUCUUGAUCCUGCGUGUAAAACUCUUGUUCCUGUUUAGUAAUCUGUUCUAGUGUUUAUUUGUGACGUGCUUGCUGUGUUAGAUCAUUUUUCCCUGUCUUUAAAAUUCAGGCCUGUUGCAGUUCAGUGUUGUUUUUCUUGUUCAUGUCAUGUUUUGCUGUAAUUUGUUCAUGAAUUGUGCCCGUGCUCGUUGUUGUGUUAGAUCCAUGUUACUAUGAUGUUAGUAGAUGCUUAUGUGUUGUUUUUACUCAAUAGAACAUCCCACUGAACUUGCUAUUCUCAAUUUCUUGCUCAAAUCUGUUCCUGUCUUUAAUUCUGCACCUCCUAACCCUGAAUUCCUGCUGUUCUAAACCUUGAUAUACUAUGAUCUAAUCCCUGUCUAAAAACUUGCUUCUAAACCUUGCCUAAAUCUAAUUCUUGUUGUUCUUCACUGUCUAAACCCCUAAAUCUUGCUUAAACUUGCUGUCUAAAUCUUUGAACCUUAUCCACUUCUGAUUCUGAACUUCUUGCACCUUUAACUUUCUACCUGUCUUGAUCUUUAUCUAUCUCCUGCUCUAAAUCAUUUCCUUGUCUAUUGCUUGCUGAAUCUUCUUCCCUGAACCUUAAUCUUGCUAUUCUUCCUUGUCUUAAUCUCUGCAUCUUCCUAGAUUCUUCCCUGUCUUAAUUUCUUUAGUGUUAAGUUUUAUCUGUCAGUGUUAAAAUUCAGUUUCGUCAGUGUUGUUUCUCGACAACAAUUAGAGUAAGGGGUGCCAAAGCUCGAUGGCACAAGUGCGAGUAUAAAAGUAGGGCGUGUACGCCGGCCUUAUAGCGAAGGUCGCCGUACACUUGGACAAGUUGACACGUCGAUAUUUUUUGAACAGGUUCGGUCGACCCUGCGGGUGCGACCUAGUCCUAUGUUAGGAGAGGCUUGGAGGGGAUCGUUAGCCAAAGCGUUUUGGGUCGAUCGAGGCUCCCCGAAUCACUUAGCGAGAGGUCGAAAAGGGCCGCCUCAUACUUGGGCCGAACGAGGCUUCCCAAGUAGCGAGGUCGAGACACCCUUAGGACUCUAACCCGAUUCUCUCUCCUUCGGGCUCGGGCCGAACGAGGAUUCCCGAAACCCAAAACUAGAGCUCCUCUCAAAGAGACUCUCUAGCCCUCUCCCCUUGAGUUUAUUCAAGUGAGAGUGAAUGGUACACGCCCCCAUGGGGGGUAUUUAUAGCCUAAGGGUACAUGACAAAAGACCAUGACUACCCUUGGGGGAGAGAGAAAAGUGGGGGCAAAAUGGUAAAACUAGCUUCUUGGUUCAUAACUUUUGUGUGCACCAAGUGGGAGAAGUGGGGCUUGGUUCAUGGUCCACCAUGGACGAAGAGCCCUCUCCUUGCACCUUUCUUGCCCCCUACUCAAGCUCAAUUUUCCCUUUGACCAUGGCAUGGGAGGCUUGACUUGUUGAUUUGUCUUCCCUUGCGACGUAGGAUUGACCACGCCACGUUGGCGUCUUGACUUGUGCUGAAAAAAUUGACCUAGUCGUCGCCACGUAGAUUUACGGUCCGGCCCAAAUAAGGGUUUUAUUUUACUACAACAGUCAGAAAGUCUGUUUUCAGGUUGUGAACAGUAAACAGAAAACAACCAAAAACAUAGUUCUUAGCCUGUUUUAAAUUGUUUGUUUUGGUUCUCAAACACCCCAUUUGGUUGUUUAGCUAAAGAUUGAGGAUUAGAAACUAUUGCACAUUAAUCCCUGUGGAGAAUCUCAUUUUUAUUAAUGCUAUUCGCUACAAGUGUUGAUCAAGUACUAUGUACGGUAGAAUUUGCUGGUUGACAUGAUGGGUUGCUACGUGGUAGUGCGCAUACCUUCACUUGUUUUGACGUGGCUAUUGCUAACAGUGUAUCGACAUAUUCACGUGGGUACUGGGAAUGCAAGCUCCGGCCCUAUUGAUCAAUCGUGUCAAGAGUAAAUGCUCUUGUGUGUCUGGCGUAUUUGCGCGGCCUGGCCAUGACAAUGGAACGGUGUUCUUCCCUUGACAAAAGCACAGCGCCAACCGAGCGUGGCCCUGACCUCGCCAUAAACCUCCUACGCCAGCCAAAAAUGAUAAAUAAUGCUAAAGAAAGAGCCAUGCCCAUAACACAUUUAGUUGCAAAACAGAAAGGGACAAAAAUUAUCAAAAAUAAGUUACAAUGGCACAGGUUCUCGCAUCUUUCCCUCCCAACACGUCCUUGAGGCGAAGCCUUGUAGACCAAAAUCGAUGGUCUGGACCGAGCUUUUUACUCGAUUGACUAACGUGAACCUAGUCUUAGGGCGAGACGAGUUUCUUUGGAAUCUUUCUAUCCUGGUGGAUUAUUUUUGGUCAAUUCAAUGUACCAGACGUUGGUACAUUUUGAAAAUUGUGGAGACUAAAGAUUCCUCUAAAGGUUAAAAGUGUUUUUUGGUUCCUGCGGCAGCGGGUCACAUUAACUAAACACAACUUGUUAAAACAGAAUUGGAAUGGAAGCUCAAAGUGUUGUUUCUGUCAUGAAGAUGAGGCUAUAACACACCUUCUUUUUUCCGGUAUCGCGUCUCUCGUUCUGUAUGGUUGAUAGUCCAAAUAGCUUCUAAUUUUUUUUUCCUGGACAUGUUCCUCAGAUGUUUGGGUCAUGGCUACGUGGGGUUAAAUGGUGAAUAAAAGGUUAGGAGCGCUUCUUAUGAUUGGAGCGGCUGCUUUAUGUUGGGCAAUUUGGCUAUGCAGAUAUUGUUUUUAAUAGAAAAAACUUAACUUCUCCACUGAAGAUCUUGUAUUCUUGCACUCAUUGGCUCUGUACUUGGUCUAUCUUUGUCAAGCAGGUGGAUCGUCAGUUGACUUUGAGGGAGUGCACCAAGUUGGAACAAGUGGUCAGGGAUUUUUUUUUUACCCACAAUGAGUGGCGGUCUAAUCUGCGGAUUGAGUCUACUUAGAGUUAUUUUUUUCUAUCUAUGUAAUAAUUUUUUUUCUUGUACUUUUUUGGUUGUGUGCAUGUUCGGAGCAGAGGCCGGGGGUGUGAUACUCUUUGUGUAUCGAUUGAUAUGCCAUUGAGAUCAAUAAAACUUCCAUUAUCGAAAAAAACUACAAUGGUGCAAAUCUCCUUGUAAAAAAAAGAAAAAAAAAGAGAAGGCACCAUACAGAGAAGCCCUACCAUCGUAUAUAUUUUUGCGAAGAACCAUCCGCAGCUACAGAAUCCGUUACUCUUGGAAACUCCACACUGAUGCAAAACUAAAAAGCGUCAGCGCAGAUAUUUGUCUCAGACGCUCCUUAAAAGAAGUGUCACAGGUAGCAUCCAGAGGCCGCGGCAACCAGAUAUUUCCUUGUGCCGUGACGACACAAGGAAGCGUCAGAGAACUUCUACAGUUCUGACGCUUCCCUGCUUCGUAAGUGUCAGAGGGGAUCUACUCUAGCUGUUGUAACUCUCUCCUUUGUGGGAGCAUUAACUUUGUUCACGAAGAAUUCUCUGACUCGUCCUUGUGUCGUCACGGCAGUAUACUUUUGACGGUCACUGACCUCUUGUCCUAGCACACGUCAGAGAUUUGUUGUAACUUGCUUUUUUUUUACAUGCACAACGUAGUUGCUAAUUAAUUCAAAUUAAAGCAACGCUACAGGCAAGAAAAAACAAAAAUCAAAACAGCAGCUAAUACCGCUGCAAUGCUAACACAAGCCACACAAAAGCCGGUCUGGUCUUGUAGCUAAACUUUAAGAUUUUCGGUCAGUUUCUUCGCUUCUUGUAUCUCUGUUUUGAGAUCUUCUAUCACCCCAUCCUAGGUAGCAAGAUCGGACUCUAGUUUGAGCUUCUCAACGGACAAUCUGUUCUUCACCUUUUUUUUCUUCCUCUAUCAUGGCUUGCAGCUUCGACACCUGAGUUACCUCCACCAUCCUACCUUCCUCCAUGCACAUGAGGUACUCACGGAGGAGGUGCAGGAAACAGAGUCCCUAAGCCACGACAUCAUUGAUUCCGCACCAUUGUUGGUGUAUCCACUACAACCCAUGAAGGAAGUAUUCAAGGAAGAGAUUUCACGAGAGUUUUUUUUCCUUUUCAGUCGCUCUGGCAAUUUUAUUUCCAUAAGUAGAGGACUGGGGAUAUAUAUAGGUUGGUAGACCGCUGACGCACUUUCAUCCGACAAGAGUCAGCGGUGUAAGCUUUUGAUGCUCAAUAACCUUCUGACGCUUGUAGUAGCAAUAAAUGUCAAAGAACUACUCGAAGGAUAAGAUUCACGGGUUUACGGCAUCUAACGCUUAGCACAGAACAAGCGUCAGAAAUAUAUGUGGUCACAGGAGGUCUGUGAGACGUCCUAGAUCCGCAGCGUUAGAGAUCAGUUAGGAAUCUAUAUAAGUUCACGGGCGCAGGUAAAAAAGGUAGCGUAUGUGUUCAUGCUUCAGAGCGAGCUCAGUAUAGAUGCAUGCAUAAUCAUGGUGAUGCAUCAGGAAGACGCAGGUGCUCCUCUUUAUCCGGUCCGUCACCUCCCCUUUCGGUCCAUGGACCACCUCACCUCGGCUAUAGAAGCAGCCGAAUGCAGUGCAAGUCGGCCUUCGCAAGAUAAUAGCUGCGUACUGUCGUCUCAAUGGGUGGGAGAUCCUGGAGCGACCUCGUUCGUCCACUCCGCCGGCGUUGGCUGAGCCAGCGCUUCCGAGGGGUCUUCAUGCAAGCUCACCGCCUCCGCCUCAGCCUCAGCCUCAGCUGCCUGCACCUUAGCUGCCUCAGGCGCCCCAGCCUCAACCUCAGCCGAGGCUUCCGCUGUUCACCGUCGACGAGUCUCCAGCGGUGAAACGGCGUCGAGAGAUGUCCACGAGGUACCCCGGUGAUCGUGGUUAUCUUCCUCAAAUCCCCUCCUUGUUCUUCUUCAUUGCCGCAACUACCUCCACCGCCAUAAGCACCUUCCUCUUUCCUCCUCCCCAAAACAUCGGCUGCUCUUGUUGUCCCUGGCCGCGCACCUCGCCUUCUUGGGCAUGGCGCUGCGCUGCUCAUGGAUGAUGUUGCCGACAUAUCAAGGCGGUGUUUAAUCUUGUCGACAACGCUCUGGUGUGUGUAUCUUGUUUGAAAUGUAGCAGAUCUUGUACGCAAUGCAAUGUAAUGUGGUCGAUCUUAUAUGAAAUGCAACAGAUCUUGUCUGCAAUGCAAUGUAAUGUGGUCGAUCAUGUAUGAAAUGUAGCAGAUCUUGUAUGAAAUGUAGCAAAAUUUGCAUGCAAUGAACGAAAUUCAGAUUGGCUCAAUGUUUCCCUGCAAUUAAAAUUAGAAUUAUAAUGUAUGACGCUGACGUUGACAGAAAAACACGUCAGUAGUAACUUUUUUUUCUUUGGUAAGAACCAUCACGGACGCUUCUUGUUCAACGAGGCGUCAAAGAUGAUCAGCUCUGACGCUUCUUACGGGCCAAAAAGAGUCAGCAAAAAUACCCCGAUAUGACUCAGGAUCGGAAAAGACUAAUCCUGACACGUGUCCCGGAAUAUGCGUCAAAAUGCUUUUCCAUCUGCGACGCUUUUCGACGCGUCAGAAGUUUCUGAGUCAUCUCUAACACUUGAUUAAUGACGCGUUCAAUUUGUGUCAGCAUAGAGGGUUUUCGGAGCGUCAGAAAUAAGUGAUUCUUAGUAGUGAUCGUAUACGCCCUCAAAUCUAUAACCUGGAGUGAAUAAAGUACCCACUGCUCAGUGAAGAGGAAUUUGUUGAGGUUCUUUUUGUUUACCAAGCUAGGGUGGCAAUUAACAAGUAGCUAUGCUUGAAUAAACUGGAAUAUCUUCAGAUCGUGGUGAGCUAUCGUACUGAUCUAAAAAAGGAGUAUAGUACACAAAUUGCAUUAGUAUAUGCAUGGCACUAUAAAAUGGGAUCCAGCAGCUGGUGCAACGCCAAAUCAAUAAAGAUGGUGUCAAGUCAAGUCGCCUAUUAGAGUAAUCCAUCCAACAUCAACUCCUUUCUUAAAUUUGUUUUACCAGAUUGAUUGGUUAGAAUUAAAUUGGACUGGCGUACAAAUAUGACGUCCAAUAUCGUGAUGAUCGACUCUUCAUGGAUGUUACCCCCUUCAUUCCUUUUUAUAAAAUGCCUUAGUUUUUGUCUUCUUCCUUUUUCAAAAAAGGGUAACUCUCGUUCUCUGCGUUGAUGCACAUAACGAAAAAUUACUAAAAUCCAAGCAACGCCAGGUAUUGAAGCCGAACAAGUCGGAAAAAAAAAACCCGAGGCCGUAUGCCUCGGACUAAUUAACCGUAUGGUAAAAUCCUGAAACAAAUGAAGAGUACACCACUCAUAAGUAAAGCAUUCAAGAAGGCUCAUCACGCGUGCUCCGAUGAUGAUGAGUCCAACGAAGUGUUCCGAUGAUGAUGAGUCCAACGAAAGGUCAAUCUCAGAAUUUUAAUCCCCGAAUUCGAGCUUCGAACCACCACCUUCAUCAAGUGCACGAUGCAUAUGGCGUCGACAUUGCUGAUCAGAUCGAUCAUAUGUUUUCACCAGAGUGCACAUACCCAUCAUGAAGUCACCUCUACCACCAACACUUGACCAGUUAACGACACCUCACUAGCCGGAUACCACUCGAGAGAUACUAGAAGCCGGGACGCCCCAUACCGCCUCACUUUUAGCCAUUGUCGCACCACCUUCGUCUAGCAGCAAAAGACAUGACUUGACGCCUCCUAGGAGACACUAUGCAUAGCACCUGCUGGCAACAUGCAUAACUUGGCGCCUCUGCAUUAGACGCUAUGUGUAGAACCCGUUGGAGAUAGGCAUGAUUUGACUCCUUCGCAAGAAACGCCGUGCGUAACACUUGAUGAGCCGGCUCGAACCCAAUCUGGAGGUGGACGGCAUGAUCGACGAGGUGGAGCCAGAUUCGACUAACAAGGACGCGGAGAAAGGCCUUGCUGUCGCCCUUCCUCGGAGGUCACACAGCUUCCCUGCUGCCUCCUCAGGCGGCAGCAAGGGUGGGAGCAGAGGAGGGUUUGGACAGGUGAGGUAGUCGGGGUCAGAGCAAAGUUUGAAGGUUGCGAUUUUGAUCCAGAGGGAGAAGAUACAGCCCACCUAGAUUUUCCUACAAAUUUGGUCAAAAUUAUAUACUAUAUGCAUACGGUCCACACAUGGACGGUUUAAUAAGUGGUGUGUGAUUGGCAUUAUCACAACCUUUUACACAUGUACAUACGAGUUUUCCGAAGCCUAGAUCUGAUAAGUUGUUUAUUACAUAAGGUUUUAAUGUAAUAAUCUUGUAAUCAAAUCAAUUGGUGCACCUAACCAAUUGACCCCAAAGUUCUAAUUGUUUAGGAAGAGUAUAUUUAAACAUUUGAGAUGUCUAAUAUUACAAUAUAUUGUGAAGAACAAAAUGUCAUCUCUAUAAAAUUAUUAAUUAGCACCCGAUAUAACUUUAAGUUCAGUGAAACCCUACAUGCAAAUCAUGGAGAGAGAUAAUAGAUAUGCAUGAGAAUAAAAGAGAUUUUUUUAGGGAGAACAAAAGAGUUUGUAUGUAACGGAGACAAAACGUAAAUUAAAUAUAACUAAUUAAGCAAACCUACACAGGUUCAAUAGAACUACAAGUUUAAGCAUGCUAGGCAAAGACUUAUAAUUUAAUUAUGUGUCUGCAUAUUUAGGCGAGUACGUGUAGAACUACGGAUUUUUUAGAGAGAAAAACAGUAGAUCAGUUAUUCUACUGUAAAUUUUAUUGCAAAAAUAUGAACAUCAAUAUAUUACAAGGCUUAUCUAAAGGUUUUAACACUACUACAAAAAGACUCAUUAGUGACGGUCGAAAAAGUGUAUCAGUAACGGGCGGACCGCCCGUCACUAACUUCCUGUCACUGGUGUGCUUAACAUCAGUAACGGCCGGUCCACACGUUACUGAUGAGGUCCCUCAUCAGUAACGGUCAAGCUACACGCCCGACACUGAUAUGGAUUAGAAGGAAAAAAACCGAGACCGCCCCGAAUCCACACAGUAGCCCGUUGAAUGUUAACAAAUCAAAAAAAUAAUAUCACCGGCUUCUCAAGGACACGGUGCUGCCGCCCGCCGCCGCCGGUGCUCUAGGCCCCACGUGCUAAUGCUCCUCCGCAUGCCGGUGGAAGAGGGUCACCGGAUCUGGUGCCGACGGGGAGAGAGCGAGCCGCUACGAGAGAUCGAGAGAGUGAGAAAUAAGAGGAAUAGAGAACUGAGAGUGUCGCACCGGUGGCACCCGGGGUACCACCGCUGCAUGACGCGUGGGCCGCCUCGCUUGCUUCCCCGGAGGACCGCACCCCAGGCAGCACAGCACAAGCUGCCCGGCAAGUCGCCAACCCCGAAGGACUAGCGGGGCUGCAGGGAUUGCCCUGGAGGGUAGCAAGGGAAUUCCCGCCUGGGCGCUUCCCGGGAGGCUCCUUGCCGAGAAGGGGGUUCCUGGGCGCAGGCGCCCGUUACAGGAGCGGGACCGAGCGGGCAAGACAGCGGCGCCACGUGACUGCUCGACGGGCGCCCUGUGCGCGGGGUUCGUCAGGAUGAAGAGUGAAGCACACGCGAGCAUUGAAUGCACCGACAGAAAGGGCAUUCCCCGUCCAGUUAGCCUAUAGUGACUGGCCGAGUGUAAUUUUUAGGCACCUAGGCCCCUAGUUGCAGGGCUACUCUUUGUGCAUGUGAGCCAGCACACCGAGGGGGAGCUGCACUAGCUCCUUGCUCGCCAUUUGUCAUCCAUGCAUCGUGGCACCUGUGGUAUCCCCUUCGGUAUAAAAGGAGGACCCCCGCCAACGGUCAAAGGGUUCGGACCCAUACUAGCUCUAGCCGAGAAUAGCAAGUAGCAAUUAGCUAAAAAAGAGAGAGCACCCGGGGACUCCUCCCGGCAACUUGUAAACCCUUGUUCGCUGGUUAAUAACAAACUCAAAAGCAGGACGUAGGGUUUUACACCUCAGGGUGGCCCGAACCUGGGUAAAAAGUGCUCUUGUGUUCAUUGCGCCUCUACGCUUUGCAUUGGCCUCGCCGGCGAUCGCCGGAGCGAUCCCCGUCGCCCACUGCCGAACCAAAAAGGGGGUGCCUGCGCAUCCCUAGUGUCUGAGCCCCGUGCGAUGACAUCUAGCGCGCCAGGUAGGGGGCGCGUGAGGAGAGAUCGCCGGUGAUCACCGGCGCCGUCGUCUACAGCUGCAUCGGCUCCCUCUUCCCAGACAGCCGAACCAGCCAUCAUGCCCCCAAGUGGGCUGGUGACUCGAGGAUCAACCCGCGUGGCACCCCGUCGGCGCACACGCGGUCGCACGACGUGCAGCGCACGUUGCAGGAGGGCGAUCCUGAGCCUACCCGGGUGCAGCAGCCGCAGUCGCAGCUGCCACCACCGCCACCCCCUCGGCCGUCGACGGAUAACCGGUUGAGGGGGCUUGCGGCUCCCAGUGCCGGAGCCAGUCGCAUGAGCGGCCACAAUGCCGCACGCGUCGGUCAACGAGCACUCUCGUGGGCCGACGACCCGCAGCCACAGCUGCGCCAGGAACACGGCGCGUCGCGGGCGACGCCGACCGAUUCACGCCCUGCUCACCCGAGGGCGCCGGGGGACAGGGCGGAGGGCAGCCGCUCUGAGAACCGGCAGCCUCCCGCUCAGACCCCGGCGGAGGCUAUCAUCGCCGCACGUGUCAUGGUGCGCUACGAGCCGCCGCAGGGCACGCCGGCGCACGAGGCAUGGAGUGCGGAGCUGGAGGCACUCCUUGCGCUCGCCGCCCAGCUGGUUAAUAACAAACUCAGAAGCAGGACGUAGGUUUUUACCCCUCAGGGUGGGCCGAACCUGGGUAAAAAGCGCUCUUGUGUUCAUUGCGCCUCUACGCUUCGCAUUGGCCUCGCCGGCGAUUGCCGGAGCGAUCCCCGUCGCCCACUGCCGAACCAAAAAGGGGGUGCCAGCGCAUCCCUGGUGUCUGAGCCCCGUGCGACGACGGAGAGAGAGAGGGGGCGUACCUGCAAGAGCCAUGGCCGAGAACUGAGAGAGAGGGUCACUGGAUCCACCAGUGUGGAGGCCGUGGCGGCCGAAUCCCGGCCCGCGGCCGCCGGAUCCACCCGCAUGGAGGCCGGGGUGGCCGGAUCCCGGCCCGCGGCGACCGAAUCCGCCGGCGUGGGAGCCCUGGCUGUGAGGGAGUGAGCGAGUCAGAGAGAGAUUAAGCGACGGAGAGAUAGAGAGAGGGCGAGAGGCGGCGACGGGCUCGGGGGCGGUGGUGGCGGAGCUCCACGGCGGCGGUGGAGAAGACAAGGGCGCUCGGGGAGAGAAGAGGGGAGGCGUCCAUGGCGGCCGCCGUUAGUCACCGCAGGCGCGGGCGGUGCCGGUGUGGGUGUGCCCGUCUUGUGUGCGCUCGGGGAGAGAAAUCGGGGAGGAAGAGGAGAUCGAGCAGGGGGACUGGUGGGGCGCGCGAGGAGACAGAGGGAGAUUGGAGAGAUAGAGGGAGGGGAGGGAGGCUGGCAGCGCGGAGGAUUGGAGGAGGGAGUUCGGGUUAGUUGUCCCUUUAUAUAGGAAGAAGUGGGUCGGGCCUAAAAUGGUUUCGCCCAGUAGUAUCAGUGGCGGGUCUAACUUUAAAACCCGUUAGUGAUGAGUCCAGGAACUUUUUUUUGUAUUUUUCAUACUUAUUGUAAUAUGAAGUAUUUCAUAUAAUUAAAUUGGCCUAUAAAUUUUCAGUAUGGUUUAAUUUUUGUGAAAAAUGGAUAGGUUUCAUUUUGAACAAUAUUAAUUGUAGUUGCUUCACCAAAAUAUCUCAUUUUUUGCAUUUGGAAAUUGGAAAAUCACUUUUUAUAACCAAAACAUGGUAAACCUCUUUGGAAAUAUUGUUUUUUAUCACAAGAUUCACCUUUGUGCAAAAAUGGAUACAUUAUCAUGAAAUGUGGCAUAGAAAUUGACAAAACUUUUGCCAUUUGGGUUAAAAUCUAAAGUUCAACUAUGAGAAAUAACAAGAUUGUACUACACAUGUCAUUUUUUCAAAUGUUACCAUAUGAUAUUAUUAUUCCACUAUGUUAAGCAAGAAAAAAUAAGACUUUAGCAAAAAGAAUCACAUUUUUCUGAUUUUUUAUGAAUUAGUUAUGAUUUUUCCAAUCUCCCAAGGUCUCCGGGGGUCAUCAGUGGCGUGCCUAGAUGUAAAGCAGGCCACUGAUGUGUGAUUUCCUGAAUUUUGUUAUUUUUUGCAUUGAACCAUUAGUGACGGGCCUUUCGGGCCCGUGACUGAUGAUUGGUCAUCAGUGACGGGCGUACAGCGCCCGUGACGGGCUUACCGCGCCCGUCACUGAUGAGGUCAUUAGUGACGGGCGUGGAUGCGACCGUCACUGAUGUUGGUCAUCAGUCUCGUCACAUAUGCACCGUUUUGUAGUAGUAAGCCAAUCUCCCAUGUGGGCAUGUUGCUUUAUUUUGGCUCGAUCUCUUCGAUGAUGGCUGAGCAUUGUUAAAGAUGAAAUCGUUGCGAGUCUUUCGGAUGCUCCAACAGACCAGGGUGGCAAUUUUCAUGAAGAAAUGCACGUCAAGCUGCUUCCUAUAUAUAUAAUCUCAACCAUAUUCUGAUGAAACAGUGGAAAAAGAGAAGAUCGCUAAUCUCCGUGAGGUUUCGUUGGCACUUGGCAGAAAACACAUGAGUGGGAUGGCAGGUGGAAUUUUUUCCUGAAGAGCAUUUCUCUAGUGUUAAAUCUAUCAAUGAGAAACAGCCAGCAGAAAAUCUUGUGUGCGGACAGCAAAAACUAUGGAUAAGAAAUUCGCGUGUCACUUAAAAUCAGCAAAAUCAGAGGAGCUGCGUCCGGAGAGGAAGAGAACAAGCUGCAUGCGGCCACUCGUUGUACUGCUACUCCAGAACACUGACGAAUCCAUAUAUGUAGAGAGAAAAUACAAGGUACUCUCGGGUGUAGUUACUCCUGACUUUUAACGGGUUGCAGGCGCAGUAAAAUCAAUUAAUUAAUUGCAAAUUAUUGCCCGAUUCCUUGCCUGGUUUGUUCCGAUUUUUUUGGGCCUGCUAACGUCAUAUAUCGAUCCAAACAGUAUUUUCUCCUCCCAUCUAUCUGUCGCCCGUACGGCCGCACGUAGAUUUGAAGCAACCAGGCCGAUGAGAGAAUUGGUUUUGGAGCUAGCCUCCCUCGAUUCUGCCAUCCCGUUUCCUGGCCGCUGGCCAUAUGAAGGGAGAUCCAUGCAUGGAGGUACUUGUGUGUUAUUGAUCCAUCUAUUUAUUUUGAACGUGCAUCAAUCAAUCUGUAAUCUAGCUAGUUUGUUUAUUCAAACCUUUGCCAGGCGAAACCAUACUACUCCGGCCGCUGCCGACCGUCAUACGCCCGGUUUCUGAUUUAUCGAUUCUUCAUUGAUGCUAGAUUGUGCUGCGGCCGCUGCCGACAUCAACGGCGCUCUCCGGCGUGCCGCGUGUGUCGUCUGCCACUGGUAACUCGAGAGGCCUGAAAUUAUUCUACGGCAGCGCGUCCGUGGGAAGAUCAUAUCUAGCCAGCCAUCUCGUGUACAUGGCCACGUAGAAGCAACUAAUAUUCUUCUUGGUUGUGAUGCAUACGUCGCACACAUGAUUAAUUUUGAAUGUAGUACUACAUAUUUUCUUCUUGAAUCAAUAUACAUACUGCCUUCUAAUAUUCUACCUUAUGUUAUACAACAUACUACCUUCUAAUAUACUACGUGCUCUUAUACUACAUACUACCUUCUAUUAUACAACAUACUACCUUCUAAUAUACUACCUUCUGUUAUACUAACUUCUAAUAUACUAUCUUCUGUUAUACAACAUACUACCUUCUAAUAUACUACCUUCUACCUUCUGUUAUACAACAUACUACCUUCUAAUAUACUACCUUCUCUUAAACAUACUACUAGAUCACGGCCCACCAUGCAUACUACUUCUCUUAAACAUACUACUAGAUCACUGCCAUUCUCUUCCUGAUAAUCCCCGCUGUACAUGCAUGCGUGUGGCCGGCCGGAGAUGUACAUGCAUGCGUAGAAUAUACUUCCAUCGUUGGUGUGAUGUACAUGCAUUCACAACAGAAUGUUCUGCCAAGCCACCCAUCCGCCCACCCUUCUCAGCUGGUCUGGUAUAUAUAAGCAAAAUCAAUAGCAUCCUAAUCCAUCCGGCUAGAAAGAAGGAGGUUGUUGUACUAGUACAUAAUUAUCUAGACUAUUUAAUUACAAAAUCAAUUAGUUACUGCGUGUUGGAUUCUACCGCAACCCACUAACCCGGUAGAUGCUUAGGGGGUAAUUACUCCCGGUUGUACAAAAAGGCGUCUAUACACACACUCCAGGACAAUAUACUCCAUGUGUCCCAAAUUAAGUGACAUGGAUUUGUAUACUUAUACAAAUCGAGGUGGUGCAGACUUUAUAAUUGUUGGGGCGGAGGAAGUAUUAAAAAAAAAUACUCCUAGUAUAUAUUAUUGUUUUAUACACCUACAAAUCGAGGUGGUGCAGACUUUACGACUGGCGCGGGCAGUCGUUUUCGUUUGGGACAGUCGGCUCGAUUCUCGACUACCUCGUGAACAGCGAUCGAGCACAUUUUGGCGUCGAUCGACGGUGAUGAUGUUCUCGCGAAAGCUUGCCAAUCUGUGGUUCAGACAUUGUCGUCAACACGCACGCACGCACUCCGUCUCACCACUAUAUAAUUACACAGAGCUACGUGCAGCUAGUUGAUGCAUCACACCGAAAUCCGAGCAUAGAUUUUUCGAUUAAUUAUUGCAAAACGAGGUACUCGGUCGUGAUCAUAUGUCCUUAGUAGUUCCCUGUUUCUUCAGUAGAAGUGCUGGUGCUAUGCUGCUGCAAUGCAGAGUUCAGCCUUCCUACGACCUCCUCCGCUGUGACCUUGGAGCCUUCCUCCACCUGAAGAGAACAAUCAAGUUAAUUGAUAUGUUUCUAUAUACUUCCUCCGUCGCACUUAAGGGACGUGGAUUUGUAUAGUACAAAUUCAAGUAAAGUUAUUUCGGAACGGAUGGAGUAGCAAAUAUGAUCGAAUGCAAUGAUUAGCUUGAUAAAAAUGCAUGUUCCUGUUGUUUCAUCAACGAUGUUCAUCAGAUAUAUAUGGAGACUUCACAAUAAAUGAGAUCAAAUCGAGUGAGUUUUAAUAUAUAUGUUGAAAUACUUCACAUACAUAAGCCGCCGCGCUACUCUAAUCUCAUCUCCUUCCCCCCUUGUCGCCGCAUGAGAUGACAGCCAGGCGAGCUCCCGUGGUCGUCAGUGACGAUGGCGGCGACAAACAAGGCUACCUCUAAUAUAUAUAGGUGGUUCUCAUGGUGGCCGGUGUGGAUUACGAGCGGUGCUCCAGACCCGGGAGACAACAUGGCCACGUGCUCGUGGCAUCGUAACGUUGCCAAGAAGCGACUGCCUGGCUUCGUUAAGGUCCAGAUCACAGAUGUCCCUCCUCGGUGGUGUAGCACGCGGCGGCGGGGCCAGCAGUGGGCUAGAUCAGGCAAAGUGGCUGCGGAAGCGACCGGUUGAUCUCCUGGGUGUUGCGCGGAUCUGACGUAGCUCCCUAUUGAGGCAUACAUGAUCUUCUGUCUGCGUGCCGUUCUCUUCUUGUGGCGGGAACCAAUCACUGUUGUUGCGGCAACAACUAAUUUGUUGUGCGGACACCGGCGUUCUAAAACUGCUUCCAACAUUUCAUCACAUGGUGCGAGUGGAUUGGGGCCUUCUUGGUGUGAGAUGGCCAACACGAGUGUGUAGCCACGGUCCAGUAGAGAGGAUUGAAGGCAUGGCAUCGGCAUAUACAACAAGUUUUGCAAUUUCUCCGGGUGAAAACUCAUGGUCUUCCGCCUCUCUGGCUAGAUCAGGCAGCGUGUACAAAUGUGUGUUGUACCUUGGUAGCCUUGGGUUUUUAUCUCUUUUUGUAAGCCGAUAAUUUGUGCAAUCUUGAUGCAUGUUUUUUCCUUUUUUUAAUAAAAUCAUGGUUCUGUGCAAUCCGGGCACGAAGAGGCCAAAAAAAACAUAACUAGGACAUAAUACUGGCCAGCCGACAAGGGAGGCGAUAUUACCAGGUAAUUACUAUGCAGUUAUCAAUAUACUUUAGAUGGAGUAAUUAAUUGUAAUUAACCACGGAGGAGGCUGAGAAUGAGACAAAUCUUAUUCCUAGGUUAAUGAGAGAUAAGAGCCUUGAAUAUUGAUCUUCUGUUUGCACAUCAUUAGAGAUAUUGUGUGCUUAGGCAUUAUUUGCACAUCAUCGAUAGACAAUUGCCAUUAGCACACUUGUACAUCUAAAGUUUGCAUCGGCAUUAUGAUGUGUAUCUUGGUCGGCUUACUAACGGCAGUUUCUGAGAUGACAGACCCGAUUAUGAAAUCAAGAAAAAUGUCACAAAGUAAACAGAGGUACUCCUAACUCUUUUUACCUAUUCCCUCCGAUUCAUAUUAAUUGCCUCAAAUUUGCCCAAAUAUAGAUGUAUUUAUGCCUAAAAAAUGUCUAGAUAUAUAUGUAAUAUUUUGACAAUUAAUAUGGAUCGGAGGGAUUACUUAUCUAUGCCUCAAAAAAAAAAUCUCUUUGUUACCACAAGCCAUGUAUGUACACUAUUUCCCUUCCAGCUUGUUUAGAAACUUGUCGGACAAACUAUAACUACAUGUAGUGAGUUUUACUAUCCAGCAUUAUGCGUUUUGUGUCUGGACUCUGGCUAGCUAGCUAGUGCUGUACAAGAACCAGGAUAAAAUAAAACGUGCAGAAAUGGUUGGGAUUACAAUAUGCAUGCUAAAUGAUAGUACUGGCCGGCCUUUUGUAUAUAUGUUGCCAUGUGUGACAAAUUAUUGGUCUCCUGAUAGUGCAUGAUAGCUUUACACAUCUCGUACAAAUUAGAUUAAGCCCAUUAUAGUACAACUAUGGGUAUGGUUCAAUAUUUUGUGGUUGAUUGGUAGUACUGUAUGAUCCAAGUCCGGCACACAAAAAUGCCAACCCAUUCUUGCGUUCAAAAAAAAAAAAGCCAACCCAUUCCCCUAAUUUGGUUCCGAUCGGUCCAACAUAUGUGUCGCUUAUAAAAAUCUCCAGAAUUAAUUAACAGCAGGAAGAAAGCACUUGCCUUGGCCGUGAUGGUUAUGAUGAGAGUGCAGGCGGUGAAGGCCAUGACAUUGGCGUGGGUGACGCUGAGGCGAAGCCCGUCCUCCACCUCCGACAGCACCCUCACCACCACCCCCUUGGCGUCCUCGCACAGGAUCCUCACCAUCACGCCGUUCUCCGCGAACCGCGCCUCGAUCUCCGGCAGCGGCUGCAGGCUCCUCCCCGGCGCCGGCGCCCCUGACGAGCCGUUGUCUUCUGAUGCGCCGUAGCAGGGCUUCUUGACGAGCACCACGGUCUCGACGCUCCUGCUGUUGCUGCCGCUGGCCGCCUCCAGGGCCUUGAUCUUCUCCUGCAGGUCCUUCACGUGCCGGGUCGCGUCCGACAGGAUCGUCGCCUUGUCCAUCUGCACCCAACAGUAGCAGACUAGCAGUGAGAUUUACUAUUUCCAUGUGAGAGCUAGGUAGGUAGCAAGACACAAAGACGUGUAGUGCUGUACUUAGAAGAACAGGAAGCAGCCAGUGCAAUUGAUGAUUCAGUUUGAUGGGAGGAUCACCUUCUUGAGGCCGGGGAUGACGGUGGAGAGCUCGAUGAAGCGCUGGUUGAUCUUCUCCCGGCGCUUCCGCUCCGCGAUGAUAUGGUCCUGCGCGUACGGCGCCGGAGUAGGCGUGUGCCCCGUGCUCGCGGUGCUGUUCGCCGAGGCUCUUCUCGAUGUCUGUGACGACGCCAAGCCGGGCUCAUAAAGUCUGGCCGCGGCCGCGUCCGGCGCGCCGGCAUCGGCGGCCGGCUGCGCGGACGCGGCGCUGAAAUUCCAGCUCAUCACGGGCCCUGGCAGGCUAACGUUGGGGCCGCCGCCAUUGCCGCUCGCGUUCGCGUUCGCGGGCGGCGAAGGCGGCAGCCAGACAUCGUGCUGCUGAUCCAUGGCGCCCGGCGCCGUGGACGAGAAGUGGACGCCGCCUCCGCUGCCGCCGUCUGUGUCGCCAGAGCUCCCGCUGUUGGCGGCGUGGGCGUCCGUGAGCAGCUCUUCGAGGACGAGCGCUGCGUGCGAGACGUCGCGGAGCGCCUGGAGCGAGGGGAAGUUCGCCUCGUCGCCGCCGCCGCUGACGACGGCGGGCGGCAGCAGGUGCUCGUGCUCCAGCGUCUCCAUGGCCCAUUCCAUGAACAGGGCUGACUCGUCCAUGUCCUUGCCUCGACCUGCUCCAUAUGACCAGAUCAUUGGUUAUUCCACAAGACCAGGACGAACCUGUUUCUUCUUUUAUACAGGAGUUGUUUAGAACUUUAGAUAUUUGCAAGGGAAUAAGAAAACUGAAGUUACCUCAAAUCGCUCCCUUAGUAAGAUUAGAUAGUCUCCUGCAAUUACUUUGUGACGAGAAGCACACCCAGAGAAGAGUACGUAGAGCAGAGUGCGCUUGCCUUUUAUAGAUAAAAAGCCAGCUGUACUACCAGUCACUGCAAAUCUACAAUGCGCGCUUGCUCACUUGAGGGCUUGAGGCCCUCCCUAAUUUCGAAUGACCAUUGAUGGGAGAUUGGGUGUAAACAAUAAUUUCCUGCGAUUCUGGUUAUGUCGCUUGAAUCAGAUCAGGAAAAUGAUAUUUUGCACCCCCGCCCCCCCCUCACAAUAUUAAUAUAGGUGAUGUAUACACUCCAGGCAAAGGUGAACUAGAAUACAACAGCUGAUGUCCACGGCCGAUAUAUACGUCGAUUUGACCCCAUUCAUCUCUGGAGCAAUGUUUUCUUUUUUGGGUGGUAUAAUUCGUUCCUGAUUGGCAUCAUAUUAGUCUCGGGCCGGGCUCACAUCUUUCACUUCAAAGUGACACUUGCAGCAAAUCACUAGAAUUAACAAAGAAAAAACAUUCAACGCCUCAGGCCGCAGCCUGGACUGCCUGAGGCCUGUCUCCGCCUCUGACUUGCAGGAAAAAACGACCAUGCUAGGGAUCGUGUAAAGAUCCGUACAGAUUUGGAUGUGCUAAUUUAGUUGAUUGCGGUGAAAACUAAUUUUCUACUCAAUGCUGAUGUCUUUAGUUUCUGUGGCACGGAAGGGAAAAAUUAUAAUAUAAUAAUCUUCUUUAAUUAGCUGCCCCACGAUAAAAUAGAAAAAUUAUUAUCUGCCACCCGACCAACCAACCACAAAACUAAGUGCAAUGUGUGGAGCCUGUGUAGUAAUGUAGAGCUUCUACCAUACGACUAAGAAAAUCAGUCCCUGCAAUAAUUUUUAAUUCUGAACGUAGGGUAUACUAUGUACUGUACAUAUGUUUCGCAAUAAUUGGGUGAUCCAGCUAGAUAAAUGUUAACGGGGCAGCUAGAUAAUUCAGCAGGAAUUGAGAGGACUGAAGAGAAGUACCAAAAGAUUACAACUCCUUUUUCUUUUGACCUCACCAGAAAGUUACAGCUAUUACUACAACAGAGAGUGUGCGCCAUGUCGUUCGACGCACUGCCACCCUUGCUCUCCCGUGGUAAGCCCAAUAAGGACGGUCCACCAAUGUAUGAAACAACAUGAACAAUAUGGACGUAGAAUGGUUAACCCUAACAAUUGAUUCUCAAAAAAGAAGGCAAUCCUAACAAUAGCCACGGGAAAACCCUAACCGUCAUUUUUGCAGGAAGUUUCGAUCUCCAGCGGUUUCGCUCAUCACUGACGGCUAAUCUGGCAUUGAGAGGCAGGGGAAUCACAGCUAAUCUGGCAUUGAGAGGCAGGGGAAUCACAGAUCAAGGCUGACAUCUACUUUUCUAUUUUUUUUGUAAGGUUUAUGUAUGGGUAAAUUUCAGGGGAAUCACAGUUCUUGAGGCAAGCUUUUCACAGAACCACAUUUUUCGAUAAUUUUCUCGCAGAAGCACACUUUUUCGAACUAAUCUUCUCAGUUUACCCGAAAACGAUGUUUAAGCGCAUUUGUCAUUUUUCCUUAUAGGUGGGGCCCACUAUCAGGUCACAGCCCAUUUAUGUGGUAACCCCCCUGUUUCUUUCACACACUUUUCUCCCCCUUCUUCUUCCUCUUCUCUCCCUUCUCGAUAUCCUAACCGCUGGCCGGACCUCCCCGUCUCCUGCCGGCCUACGCCCCGACACUCCGCUGUCGCCCCUCAUCCAGUUCGUUGUUGCACUGCGCGUGGAGUCCCGCCGGAUGGACCGUAUAUAGCUGCUACUCUAGUUUUCUACCAUCCCCUGUUCCAACUCCGACACAAACAAAGACCGGGAUCAAAUUUCCUUGAAAAGCAAUCACCGCGGAUGAGCCCAUCCCAAUCUUGGGCCGUCUCGACACCCGCAUCGCGCUCGGCCCAUCUCUCGCGCGAGCUCCCCGUCCUGGACGGGAUGCCGCUGUCGAUUCGAUUUGGCCGGCACUACCAUAGAUUCGCGCUGCUGCCACGUCGAGGGGCUCCGCCACGACCUCCUAGGCAGCCCAUCAUACUUCCAGUGGCCCUCCCCGGUGCCUGGCGACCUCCGCACGGCCACCGUCGAUGCCUCCGUUGUGCGGCCGCCGCCAGCUCUGCCAGAGCCACCGCCGCCCGCUCGUGCGGGCACUGCAGCAGGCGCGGAGGACGGCACGCUCGGGCGCAGGUCGGCUCGCGAUGGCUAGAGCAGGGGAGUGCCGCGGGUCGGCGGGGGGAGGCGCACUGGAGGGGACGAAGGAGUUGAAGGGAACUCUGUGGGGAGAGAAAAGAGAGGAUGAAGAAAGUUAAAAAGUGAAAUUGAAAAUAUGCAUGGGCUUAAUGCAGAAAUGGGCUGCGACCUGACAGUGGGCCCCACCUAUAAGGAAAAGUGUCAAAUGCGCUUAAACAUUGGUUUUGGGUAAACUGAGAAGAUUAGUCCGAAGAAGUGUGGUUCUGCGAGAAAAUUAUCGAAAAGUGUGGUUCUGUGAGAAACUUGCCUCAAGAACUGUGAUUUCUUGAAAUUUACUCUUUAUGUAUUCUUUGCGGUGACAUCUUGGUGAUGGAGAAAACAUCGUCUAGAAGGUUGGUGUCUGGUUCCGUCCUCAUCCUGGCAUACGCUUUGCAGUUUAGUCCAUGGAGUCAGUUGUUCUCAUGUCAUGUCCUUUUGUCUUUUUUCCUGUCGAUUCAUUAACGGAGAAACGACUUCAUAGCUUUUCUUGUAAGGAUUGUGUCCCCGGCAUGGUGCGUUCAACGAUACUUGGUUCCCACUGUCUGAGGUGGGCAUCCCAUGCGGCUUUUCAAAACCUAUGAUAUUAGUCUAACUUGAAAAGGUAUGGUGUUCUACAAUUUCGUCACGAUUAUGUGGAAGAACGUCAAAAUUAAUGUGAAGGAUGGAUCAAGAGAAGUUUGUUUCCAAGGACCGUGAUAAAACUAUACAUUCGAAACAAAGACGAAAAUCGAGAACGAGAAUAUAGGCACUCUCGCUGUAGUUCCAAUCGCGUCAUGUCGACCAGGGCAAGCCACCCUCAUUUUCCACAUACUACUAGCACUACUACAAAAGCAUUCAUCAGUAACGGGCAAAAAACCACAUCACUGGCGGGCAGACCACCCGUCACUACGUGGUUGCCAGUGAUGUGGGUACCAUCAGUAACGGGCGGCCUGCCCGUCCGUGAUGGGUGCCUCAUCACCGACGGUCACACACAACGACCGACACUGAUAUGGAUUUGGAAAAAUAAAAAAAAGGGCCAGCCCCUGGCCAGCCCCAAAUCCACAUAGCAGCCCGGCGUUGACCUCACCGCACCGCAGGCGGCGGCAGCUGGAGGAGAUCGGCAGAACAACGGUGGCUCCAUGGCACUCCACUUCAGAGUUUAGAGAAAGAGAGAGUGAGAGGGAAACCGGGGCUGCAGAAAGAGAGAAAUGAGAGGGGUAAGAGACCGACCUGGAGAUCUUCGACUCCAUGAUGGCGCCGUCAACUCCAUGACCGUCGUGUCGACUCCUUGACCACGCCGUCGACUCGAUGCCGGACUGCAUUUGUGAGAGAGUGGGAGAGUGAGAGAGGAAGAGGGAGGAAAGAAAACCAAGACGGGAAUGGGGACUUACCGGUGGCUGGGUGGCCGAGAAAGGCCAGAUCCGGUGGGGCGAGGCCGGGGGCUGCCGGAUCCGGCCCUGUCCGUCAUCGGUGGCCGGCAUGGGAAGCGGGGCCGGCGUCAGAGCGGUGGCGGCGCGAGCGGAGGAGGAGGGAGGGAGCUCGGGAGCCCGUGGAUGGGGGAGAUCGCCGCUCGGCUGGAAAAGAGGAGGGAGAGAGAAAAGAGAUUGGGAGGGAUGAGGAUGGGGAAAGGAGAAAAUAUCGGGGAGGCAGGGAGAGAUGUGGGCCUGUGGAUCCGGUUCCUCUGUUGCUCAGCCAAUAGGGUGACAGCAGACGAAUCUGUGCUUCUUAGUACUCCUGAAAAUCUAGAGAACAUCAGUGGCGGGUGCAAUUGUAAGGCCCGCCACUGAUGUUUAUUUUUGUGAAUUUUGCAGAUUUUUAAAUUGGGCCAUUACUAACGGGCGUCCCGUGCCCGUUACUGAUGAAGUGUUAUCAGUGACGGGCAUACCACGCCCGUCACUGAUGGGCGGGAUGCCCGUUACUGAUGAGGGUCAUCAGUGACGGGCCUUUCCCGCACGUCACAUGUGUUGUGUUUUGUAGUAGUGUGGCUAUCUAGCUUACGGCGAUAUAAUACUUCUAGGUUCUCAGUGGAGCAAAAAUUAGUUAGUUGCCACUUUGGCCACUUCAUCGUUGGUCCCGAUGUCCUCUCAGCAGUGUUGCAUGGGCGUCUGAAUCCUAUCGCCCGUCGCUGAUGAGUAAUCAUCAGUGACGGGCGUGGUGUGCCCGUCACUGAUAAGGGGUCAUCAGUGACGGGCACGGGCACGCCCGUCACUGAUGUUAUGUUAUCAGUGACGGGCAUGGUAUGCCCGUUACUGAUGAGGGUCAUCAGUGACGGACGGGAAAGACCCGUCACUGAUGACCCAUCACAUAUGUUGUGUUUUGUAGUAGUGUGGCUAUCUAGCUUACGGCGAUAUAAUACUUCCAGGUUCUCAAUGGAGCAAAAAUUAGUCAGUUGCCACUUUGGCCGCUUCAUCGUUGUCCUGUCAGUAGUGUUGCAUGGGCGUCUGAAUUCUAUCAAUUUCUUCUCAUGUGUUUAGCUUUCUCUAGUUCAUGUAUUCUUUCUACAUAACUUAGUUUUCCAUAUUAUCAUUUUGGACUUAUUACUAGUGAUGUAUUUUAUUGAGCGACUUACCUACAUGCACGGGAAAUAAAUAAUAAGGAAAUUUAUGUUUGAAAAUAAAUCGUCCAAAUUGAAUUGCCAUUUCAUACGGUUUUAUGGAGGGGGGGGGGGGGGGGGUUCUCUUUCGUUGUGGUCUCAUUUUAUUGUAAAAAUAAGAAUUACUUACUUCUGUUUACAAUAGUGAUAUUUUUUAUUAUACCAAAUUCCACUAAUAUUUGAUAGGAGUAGCUCUAUUUUAUAGUGUAAUUUAUCUAUAGCAAAAAAUAUAACUAAUUUUAUUUGUAGCAACCAGCAGAUAUUUACCUACUCCCUCCUACCGAAAUUAUUUGUCGAAAUAUUACAUGUAUGUAGAUGUUUUUUAAACAUAGAUACAUUCAUAUUUGGGUAAAAUUGAGACAAGUAAUAUGGGUCGGAGGGAGCAGCAUGUAUGAUUUCCAAAUGGUUUAACACAGCAGUAGGAACGUGUUUCACAACGGGAAAUUAAACUAUGAUAGGAUUACCUGAACAUAUCAGUAACUCGAUUAUUGGAUCGGGCGAGUGUAGGCGUCGAGUCGACCGUCAAAUCCCUCGACUUUUUGCAGUAAAGCGACGUGCCGUUUUUGUUCGGACGUGCCAGCAAAAGUAAACGCAUGAUAUUCUGCUGCAUGCGUGCGUGGCUGCGUGCUUUGCUUAUCUUUUACUGCUCUAAAUUAACAAAAUCAUCGCGGCGAUGAAUCAUUCUUGACAAAUUUUAAUCGAGCACCGGCGGCCGUCCGGUAAGAAUCACGUGCACAUGCGCUCUGUUUCUCUUGCUUUGCACGCAGUGCGCUGUGCAAAUUGCGGCCAUCCAGUAAGAAUCUCUUGCCGGAUUAUUUAAGCGUUACGGCGUCCUCGUGACCGUAUCCACGUACAGCGCGCACGCGAAAGGUUUGUUUGUCCAGAAAAUAUCAUUGGAUCGACGGCACCACAACUGUUAAUUAUAUGUGGAGUAUCUCAUGUUCGCCGAGGAAAUCAAGAUAUGUAUGAGAACUCAUUUGUGUGUACCGAGUGAGUUAUUGACUCCACGAUUACAUGGCAAUUUUUUUAAAAAUAAUAUGAUUUUUUUAAUCAUUUUUAAAAAUAAUACGCGUUUUUUAAAAAUUUCAAAAAUAAUAUGGGCUCGGCAUCGCCCAGGCCGAAUGGACCCAGUCGGCCUGGCCCAAGCCGAUUAGGCUCAGUCGGCCUCGGCCAGGCCGACUGGAGGCAGGCUGCUCGGCGCGCGGGGCCCCACGAGGCGCUCGGUUUGGCUCAGACCGACUGAGCCCAGUCGGCCUAGCCUUGGCCGACAGGCCAGUCGGCCUAGCCAUGGCCGAAAGGCACCUGGUGGGCCGGCGGAAUCUUCCUUUUUCUUUUUUUCCCUUUCCCUUCCUCCCUUCCCAUCCCGUGCGCGAGCCCACCCAGACGCCCCCGAGCCCCUUCUUCUUCCUGCUCGUGUUCUUCUCCGUUCUUCUCUGUUUUUCCUUUUCUCCUCAAAUGCUCCCAUUUUCUAGCCCAAAUUAGUGCAUCUUGAUCCCAUUUAACCCACAAAAUCGCAUCCCCUACCUAGUUGGCACCCAAAGACACCUCGAUCUACUGUUUUCAUAGGCCAUGUAGAGCUAAUUUUGUGGUGCAAAAUUGGAGCAAUGGUGGUGGUUUGGAAGAGUUUGGAGGUGGUGGUAGUGCUCAUCCGGUGACUGUGAGACUGCUCGAGGUUGGGGUUCACACGUUUUAAGGGUAAGUCCUAAUCUCUCACGUAUUUAUCCUAUAAGUAUAUGUUUGUGAGGAUACGUGUGUAUGUAUAUAUAAAAUGUAUGUUUUAGCGUUUGGUAGUGCUUAUUAUUUUGGGCAACGGUUAAUGUCGUACUGCUUAGUAUUUGAUGCAUCUAAAUAUUAUGGCCGGUAGUAAAAUGUUUUGAUAGACUAGAUUUUUUUUGAUGCCGUACUGUUUAGUAUUUGAAGCGUAUUAAUAUUUUAAAUCUGUCGUACUGCUUAGUAUUUUACGCGUCUAAAUAGUAUGGCCGGUAGUAAUAUGUUUUGAUGGGCUAGAUUUUAUUUAUGCCGUACUGUUUAGUUUUUGACGCUAAUAUGCCGUAUUGUUUAGCAUUUGUCACGUAUUAAUAUUUUUAAUAUGCCGUACUGCUUAGUAUUUGACGGUCUUAAUAUUUUUUAUAUGCCGUACUGCUUAGUAUUUGACGCGUCUAAACAUUUUUUUAGGCAUCAAAGAUGUCCGGUGUAGUGAAGUUUGUUUUUUACUACUGUUCCGGUACUGUCUUAACAACAGAGCACGAAGCUGAUCUGAGUCAGUUUAAGUAUGUGGAGUUGAAUCUAACGGCCCCUCAAACAUGCACGUUUAGUCAGUUGCAGGAAUGGUUGGUAGGAUGUUUAGCACUCAAUCCUAAAACAUACACCGUCCGUGUGCAAGCAUUGUGGACCAAGUCAAGUUUAAAUAUUUUUUGGGUUUUGAGGCCGAUAGACUGGACAUCAAAGUGGGUGCGCUAGUUAGAAAGUUGUGAGAAAAGGGAAACUACACCUGUCACCUUAAUCCAUGUUGUCGCUCAUGAGACCAAUCCAGCUGAAGGCGAGAGUGAAUCAGGUUAUGGCUUGUCCAAUGCAAACUCUGUGUCGAAUGCUGGAGGUGGUGGUUACGAAUCAGGCCAGAACUCUGGGACAGUAGGAGAGGAUGAGUACACUGGCGAGGCAGAUGCGGACGAAAAAGAUGGUCACUUGCAGAACCAGAUGGAAGAUGAAGAUACAGAUGGUCAUAGUUCUUAUGACAAUGAGUCUCAUGAGUCGGACGAAGAGGAGGUGCCGAUUCCCGCAUCAUGGAAUCAGGACUUCUCUUCAGCUAUGACCGUGAACGAUGGGCACGACUCUGCAUGGCAAUAUCAUUAGAACAACAUUGCGAAGGGUGCUAGAUUUCCUGACAAGAAACAUCUGCAGGAUGCAAUAAUUGCUUGGGCAAUGUCCACGCAAAGGGUUUUCAAAACAACAGUCUCUUCACAAAAAUAUCUGACAAUGGAGUGUGAACAAAUAGAUUGUCCCGGAAGGGUGUAUGGCUAUGUUCCUAAGUAUGACACAGAUUGGGUUGUGACUGACUUGGUGUUGCACACAUGUGUCAUUCCCAGUAUCCUUCAAGACCAUCGUAACCUCUCGUCGACGCUUCUUGCUCGGUUGCUUUACACGGAGAUAGUGGAGAGCAAAGCAAUGGAAGUGAAGGCCAUCAUGCGUAAGGUCAGGGUAAGGUUUAAGUACAACAUUUUGUAUGGCAAGGCUUGGAGGGCUAAGCAGAGGGCUCUUGAGGAAAGAUUUGGUUCGUUUUAUGACUCGUACGACUCGGUUGUCCGCCUCCUCCAUACACUACAAGCCCGUAAUCCAGGCAUCUAUGUCGACAUCCAACACUUCGUGCACCCAGAGUAUCCAACUGUAAGGGUGCUGCAACGACUGUUCUUCACUUUCGGUGUAUGCGUCCAAGCUUUCCAUCAUUGUCGACCGGUGAUAUGCGUAGAUGGCACUUUUCUCACUGCCAAAUACAGGGGGCAGAUCUUGACUGCCAUUGGUCAAGACGGCAACAAUCAAAUCGUUCCGCUCGCAUUUGCUUUCGUGGAGGGUGAGAACACUAAAAGUUGGUUAUGGUUUUUCAGGCAGCUAAAGAGAGCAGUUGUGCAUGAUAAGCCGAAUGUGUACAUCCUUCAUGACAGACAUGCAGGCAUACUCAGUGCGAUAAGGACACUGACAAACCCUGGGCCUGAUGAACAAACUCCAUGGCAGGACAUGCAGAGUCGUCGGUGCAUGCGGCAUUUGGGGGCCAACUUCUUCUCGUAGUUCAGGAACAAGUCUAUGAAUCUAUUCAAGAAAGUCUGCAAACAGAACCAACAAUGGAAGUAUACUAGGAUACAUGAUUAUCUUUAUGAGUUCACGAAGAAACAUGUUAGGGAGAGGACAGCGGCACGAAACGCAGCGGUAGCAGCACAUGUAGCAGCAGUGGCUGCACAGACAGUAGUUGGAACAGGACCAUCUGAGGAAGAACCUGUUGGGCUUUGUGACUUGCCAAGGUUUGACCCACCCGGCACUAGGAGAACGGUUGGGAGGCAGAUUAAAAACUUUCAGCAGAGGAUAGAGCACGAGCCUCUGGAGCGGUGGUCUUUGCUGCACGACACACAUGACGCUAGGUACGGCGUCAUGACUACUAACCUGGCAGAAACAUACAACUUUGUCCUAAGGGGAAAUAGGGCUUUACCACUUAGAGACAUCAUCAAGGGUAUUUUCCAUGGCACGGUGAACUAUUUCAGAGAUAGACGCCAGAGAACUGAAAUGCAUAUCAUGAACAACCCAAAUACACCAUACUGUGAAAAGAUUAUGAAGUACAUCGAUGAGAAGAUGGAAAAAGCUAGGUCUCAUACUGUCGUCGCCAUCGGUAAUCAAGAACACAGGUUUGAGGUGCGCUUGCCAACUGACAAGUUCGGCGUUGGAAAUGAAUUGAGGACACAAGGUGAAGAUUGGAAAUGAAGCGUGGCCAACGUGUGAGUGCACCUGCAACAAACCAAAGUUGCUUCACCUUCCUUGCUCACAUGUACUUGCUGCUUGCGGGGAGCUAGGGAUGGACGCAAUCUCAUUUGUGUCUCCCUAUUACCUGAAAGAGUCUGUGCUUAACACAUGGACGAGUGAGAUGCUAGGGUUUCGUGCAAUGGGCAAUUUCAACAAGGUAACCCUUGGUGAAAGGCGGUACAUCCCUGACCCCGGGCUACUGCGGACAGGCACAGGCAGACGCCCGUCCAGGCGCAUCCGAAAUGAUAUGGAUGAAUCUGAAGCCGGAGGACCGUCACGACAAUAUUUUCUACGCAACCAUUUUAGCCAUAGGGACACUUAUUGUCCAACUUUCGGUACUGACGGAGCUACUGCCCGUGAAAGAGGGAGACGUGGACGAUGAGUGAGAGGAAGAAACUAGACUAUGGCCUUAAUAUGUACUCUAUGUGAAACUAUGUGUUAAUUUGUACUCUGUGUGGAACUAUGCUAUAAUUUGUACUUUAUGUGGAACUAUGUUUUAAUUUGUACUAUAUGUGAAACUAUGUGUUAAUUUGUACUCUAUGUUUUAAUUUGUACUCUAUGUGGAACUAAGUUUUAUUUUGUACUCUGUGAAACUAAGUUUUAUUUUCUACUCUGUGAAACUAUGUGUUAAUUUGUGCCCUAUGUUUUAAUUUGUACUCUGUGUGGAACUAUGUGUUAAUUUGUAAGCUUUGUUCAACUAUGUUUUAAUAUGUACUCUCGGUUUAACUAUGCUUAACUUUGUAUUGUAUGUCUAACUAUGUUUAUAAAUGUUGCAGGUACAAAAUGGAAGAGUAUCAUUGCUAUCUUCGGAGAUUGAGAGUAAGCAUCGGGCUGCUCGAUUGGUGGCGCAUCCUGGGAGUGUCGAGCCCCUUGUCACGCGCACUCCUAAGGAAAAUUGGAUAAUACACCAUGCCUGGAUUCAGCGGUAUUUAUUCAUUCAUCCCUUGCAUGUCCAUUUUAUUUAUUCAUCCCUUGCAUGUUCAUUUUAUUUAUGCAGUUUGAAGUGGGCUGGCCUUUUACCUUUCGCACGGCUUGUUGAGGCAACUCGUGUGGAAAUGGUAAAGGGCGAGCGACGAGGCUUCAACUCUACACGGCUACAAAUUGACCACUCGUUGUUGAGCUGCUUAGUGGACGAUGAUGUGCUCUUUCCCAUCGACGGUGCAGUACUCUUUCCCUUAGACGAUGAAGAACUCUUACCCGUUUUGCUUGGCACGAAGAUAUCUUCAUCAGACGAUGAUGUACUUUUCCCCUUGGACGAUGAUGUGCUCUUUCGCUUCGACGGUGCAGUACUCUUCACCUUGGACGAUGAAGAACUCUUACCCGUUUUGCUUGGCAUGAAGAUAUCUUCAUCGGAUUCCUCCUCUUCAACCCAUAACAAUGGAUGUUUUCUAGCCUAUUGUAGGUAUGACUCACUCUUACCUUCACUGUGCUUCUUCCAUCUUUCGUGCAACCUUAGCAGUUCUUGCCAUAUCUCUGCAAUGUUUAAAGGUCGACUCUUAGCUAACUCUUACUCGAAUCUUUUCUUAAGAGUUUUUCUCCUUUUUUUUAGAAACACGGUGCAAAUGCAGACGCUCACAACACGUGGGUACACUCACCCCUAUGAACGCACACACGCACACCCUACCCCUAUGAGCACCUCCGGAAGACUGGGCCAACAGGUCUUGAGAGUUUGACGAAGUCACCGCAGGCGCCUCCCUAUUGACGGGUACGCCACCUACCACUGAAAGAAUAGCGGCGGUUAAAUCCUAGAAUAAUUUAGGGAAAUGUGACACCCAUGUCAAGUCUAGAACUUGAACCUCGGUGGGCUGUUUCCACCACAAGGAACCAGACCAACUGAGUUAGGCUCAAUUCACUUCUCUCUCCUAUUUUUAUUUCCAUACAGAAACAAAUCUUCUAUAUCUAAGUAGGAAAAACCCAAUAUUUAAUUUCUCUCAACAUGCAAGCAUGCCACAUCAUCACAUCAUUAAUUUGUUCACACCUAUUUAGUGAAAAACUCAUAUUUUUUGCACAUGAAUGCAUGCUACUUUUUCAUCAAGCUAUUUCCACUAAGUGAAGAAUGUAUAAUCUAUCAUGCAAUUCCAUUAUACAUUUUCACUUGAUACUCUUUUGUUGCUACUCUGUACUCAUGUAUGUUUUCAACAACGUGGGCUCACGUAUGUUAACUAAAAAUUUCCGCAACGACGUGCGGGACAUCAUCUAGUUUAUAUAAGAGUCGGUCAGGAGUCCGCCACCGUGGAUGCCUAAUCAUAUGCGUGUCAAAUCCCCGUGAUUUGGAGCCGAUCGAUGCCACUCGUCCUGGUUAAGCUAGCUACGCGCUAUGGAUGAUCUUGAUUGGUUGCUGAUAGAGUGGGCCUACAGGACUAGAGCAAGAUCAGUAAAUUAGACAGGAGCACAAUAUAGUAAGUGAGAUUUCUUUUUGGAAGACAACGACACGUACUACGACAGCAUUCGUAUGGCCCUGGCAUUUGAAUACCAUAUAGAGCGUACGGACCAUCAAUAUAAAACCAAUGUUAGAUUUUGAGAGGCUACACACACUUGGCAACAAACAAGGAUUAUCCUCUGAUUUCUGGCGGAACAGAUCAGCUAAAAUAAUCUGCGUGUGUAGCAGGUUAGCAGCUAGCAAAAACGAAUCAUCAUAGAGAAGCUUCUGCACAAAGUGUUGACAAAGAAGAAAAAAAACAAAUGCUGACUCGAUCGGAACCGAAUGGCAUGUAUAUAGGUCACCCAAAAGAUGUUUUAUGGACGUUCUGAAAAAAAGAUGUUUUAGGAAUUGUUUCUACAUAGCCAUUUCCUAGAAAGAACUUAAUGUGAAUUUUUAGCAGAUGGAGAGAGCAUAAAGUUAGAAAUACAUAGGACGAAAUAUAGUGGGGAUUUUGGGGGUAUAUUUACCACAGUCCACUUAUAUUUUCUGGUGCCUCACGGGAAAAUGAUGUGGUGCUCAAUUCUUGUAUACGCCAAACAGAUUGGCCAACUAAAAGUUGUAUUUCUUGCGAUUUAAAAGGAAGGAAUGGUGCAACCAGCUCACCCCGCUAAGUCUCCGAUUUGACAUGGAUGCUCGCAUUUUUCUGCAUUUAUUUCAAGACCUAACUGGCGUUGUGUUUUUAGUGGGAGUGACGUACCCGUCGACCACGAGAUACCGGUGGAGAUUCCAUCAAUCUCAAGAUAAUGUGCCGGACCAAUCUCUCGGAAGUGCUCAUAGGGGUAGGGUGUGCGUGCGUGUGUUCAUAGGGACGAGUCUCUCGGAGGUGCUCAUAGGGAUAGCGUGUGCGUGCAUGUGUUCAUAGGAGUGUGUGCGUGCUUGUGAGCGUCUGCGUCUGUGCCGUGUUUCCUCACAAAAAAAAGGAAGGAAUGAGGUGCACAUGCGCGGACAAUGCGAGCCUCGAAGCAAUGUAGAUCAUUGCAAUCGCUUAUCCUUGUAAAGUCUUGUGUUGUUUGUUGAUCUAUUUGGAACUGCAUAAAUGAUUUGGUAUUCAGUAAGAAAAAACUACUUUUUUGCAGGUUGUUCUUCAGACUUCGCAUUGGAUCCAUAUUUGUUCCUACUUCUUCGGACUGAGGCCAAGGAUUUUAAAGUUUGGCUGCACCUGUUUGGAGAUGGUCGCAAGGGAGUUCUUCAACCAGUUUGGGUGACGCACGGCAAUAGACUUGAAGCCAGUUGAUGUGUUUUCGAUUUUUUUAUUUAUGAUGUAAACUUUGAAACUUUUGCGCAAAAGAAAGGUAACUUCAAACUUCUUUGUCGUGCUGACUUUAAUAAUAUGACGGCUGUGCGCAUCAGUUGACCAAGGAGUUUUACUUCUUAAAAAAAACACCAAACAUGUGCCUGUUAUUUUGCAGAAUUUCUAACCUCAUCGAGAUUUCAGUUCCCAUUCUAUUUUCAAGAGAAAAAUAAAAACUGAAUUAGUUGUAACUGGCUUAGUUCUUCUAGUGCUCACCCUGAUUUGAAACCAAUGAUUCCCCGGUGGGGGCUGCUAGGGAGUGCGCGCGCACUUUUUGGCGUAAAAAGUGUCCCCGACCAGAUUCCUUGUCAUGACUUGGUCCCCGCACAAGACAGUGACAUUUCCUUCUCUUCCUACGUGGUCCUCCAUCUCCCAUGCUUUUUUCCUCCUCUACGCUGCCACACAUUUCUCCAUCAACUAAAAAAAAAUACAUAUUAGAUUCAACGCAAACAAAAAGUUACUCUCAAAUCUCCUUCUUCUUCGGUACAAUACCGAUAGUUACUUCGUAAGGCUCAGAUAGAUGUAACUUUUAACAUCACAAUUACAUCUAAAAAAUCAAAAAAGUAACUUUUAACAUCAAAACUACAUCUAUUUAACUCAAAAAAGUAACCGUCAUACAUAGAAAUUACAUCCAACAGAAUAAGAAAGUAACUCUGAUCUAGAAUUUACAUCAAGCAGAAUCAUAAAGUAACUCUUAACACAGAAUUUACAUCAAGCAACGGACACAGUUCGAUUAAGGGAGUAUGAACACGCACAGACACACCAUUAAGCAGAUAGAGUUGGGACACUGGACAAUAUAGGCGGGGUACCUAUCCGCAGCCUCCCAACGAGCGGACCAGCGCUCCUCUCCACGGCCGCGGCGACGCUCGAGCUCUCAACAGGCGAGGGGUGAGGAGGAUAGAGGAGGAAGGAGGGGGCACCAGCCUCUGCAUCGCGACAACGAGUGCACCACCCGGCGGUGACAGAGGACGAAGGAGCAAAGACUGGAGGAGGGGUCAGGGUUGGGCCAUGACGGCUUUGCUGCUGCGCGACCGCCGGCCACUCGUCGUGUCCAGCGAGGGGGACUGUCGGGCCGUGCUCGGCCGCAGCGGCGGGAAGGCGGAGCCGCUCCACCUCCUACCAUGGAGCCUCGCGGCGGGACGAGAGGGAGAGGAUCGAGGCACUCGGCGGCGGGCUGGGCGGCAGCGGAUCGGGGGCCACCGCCACCUCCCACGGGCCAGGCCGGCGGCGGAUCAAACCGCCACCACCUCUCACGGGCCUUAUCAAUCUCGAUGGUGGCGGCGCGCGAGGCGGGGUUGGGGAUGGGGGAGCUGGCGAUGGAAGAGAUGGUGGCACGCGGGCCGCGAGGGGGGAGGAAGGAGGCGUCCAGGGGUGGGGGCACGUCGGCGGGGUGGAAGGAGGCGUGCGAAUCGGAGAAGACACGGGAGGGAGAGAGAGAAAGGGGUGAAUGAGUGGCCGUGGACUGCCCGUGGUCUUUUGGAUAAGGCUUAGAGGAGGGGGAAGUGAGCACCGGGUGCGAGUAAAAAGUGCGCACGCACGAAACAGAUUAAGCGUUCCCCAAUUCUCUAUCUCAUCUUGAAUCCAUGAAACUUCUGGAAAUUUUCUAAAUUCCUUCUCCUCUUCCCCAAAUACAGAGAACCAACACCCCGUUCCUUAUUUCCAAACCAGAUUUUUCCUCCUCUCGGCCCGUCGCCGGCUCUCACCGCCUAGACCCCCGGUGCAAUUCCUGGCAGCAUUUGGGGCCGCCACCGUCGGAAUCGAGGCUGUUGCCUCACCUGUGAUCGUCGCCCCGCCGGACGCCAUGGCCUAGUGCUGCCGGAGGAGGAAGGGAGCGGCUACGAACGAGCAACACCGGCAGUGGCUGGAAGAAAGAGGAGAGUGAGAAGGAAGAGGGGCAAAAAAAAAUCUCUAUCACUUACAUGUGGGUCCCAUAUGGCAGUGUGAUGUACCAUGACUAUAUGCGCCUCUGGCUUCGUUCCUCCGCCGUUCUGUUUGCGUCUCGUACCAUGACUAUGCUCUGACUACCUAGGCGCUGUUGAGGAACUGAGAAAGAUGUGGCCGGAGCAGCUGCGUACCUGCGUUUCUAGGCGAGGCAACGAGACGAGAGCAGUAGAUCGACGCAAAGCAGUCAGUGGCCUUCCUUCAGAAGGAACAGAAUGGUUAGUCGGGUUUGAUCCCAGCCGCUUGAUUAGCUUUAAAGCACGGAAGAACUCCUCUGAAAUUCAUUGAUUCGCUCAGUAUGAUGUUAUAUAUACUGUGGGUGUUGCAAUGUGAAGAGUUAGCGUGGUCAUUGACACUCAGUAAACCCUAGUAAAUUGGCUCACUUAGUAUGAUGUAACGAUGAUAUAUGUAGAUAGUGGUUAACCAUUUGGAUUUUGGAGUUAGCACACAACAACGUAGUGAUCUUCCAAAAGAACAACAACAACGCAGUACUAGCUUUGAGCUGUUUCUGUCGGUAUAAAAAGUCUGAAAAGGAGUUUGUCUGCUGUUACACCUGAAUCGGUGAAUCCACUGCAAGAAACACCUGGGUACAUUAUUCUAUCAGAAGAGGACAAUAAAAAUGAAACUCUAAAGCAACUUUGGGGACGAGUCCCUGAAAUCUUUAGCACUUAAAUUACUUGACUAUGCCAACGAUCCUAUGAAUAAUUGAGCGGCGCAUGCAUGUCAGCAUGUGUUGCAAGCGUGCGUUGGCCAGCAAAAAUAAAGAAAUCUAGUCUACUCUAAAGUAACGAAAAGUUCUUCAGACCAUCAGUGCUGCCAAUGGCCAGCCAGGGUUCAUUCUUUUAAGAAAAAGAAUGCGAGAUCCGGUUUUAUUGCUUUAAUUGGCCAUCACCGGGAUGUUGAGUAUCCGAAAGGGGUAUCGUGGUUUUGAAAUUUUAUUUUAUCAUUUUACCUAUGAACACUCCACUAUGUUCAAUUUGUCAACAGUUAGAUUUCUGUUUACAAAUCUCUUUGUAUUUUCUCUUCUUUUUUUCCCACCUACUAUAUCUAGCAGCCAAUUUGUUUUUGAACCAGCCAACUGUCAGAAUUUUCAAGAUCGUUACACCUUCAUCCAAGGCUUAGAUUUCAUUCUUAUCCAACACAAAUGCAAAUAAUCUUUUUAGCGAGAAGUCCACCCCAAAUAAUCGUUACUUCAUUUCUCUCCCUUGCCUUCCCUUGUCGCUCUCCUCCUCGCUUUUCUGAUUCGGUCGAUUGACACGGUCGAUAUAGUCAGAAAUCCCUAAAAAUGCCUCCUAUUGGCUCUGGUUAGCCCUCCUACCCUAACCCAGUAAAUCAUUUACCCUCCUAUGAAACGCUUUCAUCGUUCAGCCUCGUGAUGCCACCUCUUUUUGGAGGCAAGCCUCAUUGCCAUCCUUCCGCGUAUUGUCUAACGGCCACCAUCGUCAAAUCACGCAAUAUCGCUCAACCUGUCUAUCCCCCCGGCCCCUAACCCUCCCGUGAGCCUCUGCGUCAUUCAGUCUUGCCUUCGCCUGGUGGUUCCACCUUAUUGUGUCGUUUUGAUAAACAAUUUGUUAUUAAUAAACCCCUGGUCUAUAUGCCAAGCAAACGCAAACAAACAAGAGUCACGAGAUUUCAAUGCAAAAUAUUGUUCGGCCUGUAAAGAAAGUUGUUAAUUUUGGUAACAUGCUUAGCACAUCAGACCAAGUCAUCUUAGUCUCGGUUGUCCCAAUUAUUCUCCUUCCAAAACAAGGGGGCGAGAUGAGUCUUAUUUUCACUCGAGCACAAUGCAAGUAAGGCUGGUCAUAAUGGGAGUAGCAUAGAGAUGGUAUCAUAUAAUUCAUAAUACUAUAAGCACGGUUUCAUAGAGCCUUCAUUUAUUGUUUUACAAGACACAUUGUGCUUUGAGAAAAGCUAUGUUAGUGGUAUCAUGUUAUGAUAUCACUACCAUCUAUUUAAUUUAAUGCUAUGACACAUCAUCCCAAUGCUUAUGUGGCAAUGCAUGAUACUAGUUAUGUUACUCCCACUAUGACCAGCCUAAGGUACACACAAAUAUAUCCUAGGAAUAGGAUUGGUGUCUUGGUGAAGAUCAAGCCAAGGCAUGCAGCUCACUUGAAGACAUAUGCAUGUGGUGAAUAUAAACUCUAAUCUCACAUGCAUGACCACCAAUCCACCAUCCGGUCAGAACAUCGUAGAUAUCUUCCAUGCUGUACCGCAUGAUCUAUAUGUCCAUCCAUGCUGUACCGCAGCUCACUUGAAGACAUAUGCAUGUGGUGAAUAUAAACUCUAAUCUCACAUGCAUGACCACCAAUCCACCAUCCGCUCAGAACAUCGUAGAUAUCUUCCAUGCAAUCGGCAUCAUGGCUGCUUGCUGCUGCUACAAACGCUAACUAUGAUUAUGUAGUACGGAGUUGAGUCUUCCUACUAUCUCCUCUGCAUUGAUGGUGAAGCCCUCGUCCAGCUGAAUGUAAAAGUCAGACAAUCGACACAAACAAAUUAAAGCGUGUUAGUUUCGUUUCAAUAGCCAAUCCUAACGAACGUGUUCGGUUAACACUUGAUCACUAUAAGCAUUUUUCUGAGUGGGGGGAAAGAAGAGAUGAUUUCAGUUACUCCUCUUUGUGUUGCAAAGCAUUCGUCCUUAGAUGCGCACGGACCAAACGAAGUGAAGACUAGUUAUAAGAAAAGGUAAAUGGGAUAUGAAAUAAUACAAUUAUUCAACUAUUCACGAAUCAUCUUAAUAGGGUAUAGCAAUAACGAAACUCUUUAAUUGACAGAUAAUCUACUAUCUCCGUUUAAAAAUAGAUGUUUUUAGAGCUUUUUUAUUUAUUUUUCUCAAUGUACACAUAUCCUCAUUGUAUUCCUAUUUGCCCUUUAUCGAUAUAUGCCACCAAGAAAAGAGCAGAAAACAUUAAUGGGUAUCCAACUUCUAGCGCUUGCAUGUGCUUUGGUUUGGGGGGAAAAGGUAACUUAAUGUCUUGGCGAAGAAAAAGAUAUUGGUAAUAUGGACAUUUCAUUUACACACACUAAAUUCUCUGCCAAACUCCCUAAUGCCAAACAGGACUAAAGUACAGUGCUUAGAAGCUUAUGCGAUACGGGGAACAACCUAAAUAAGAGCUGGAACUCAAUAUUUGUGACAUUGAAAAAGAUACAAGGUAUUGAUACAAGACACCGAAAAUGGCACAAGAGCUGGAAAUCAAUACAAAUAAAAACUGAAUAAAUUCACACAUCUGUAUUAUGGGAUGAAUUAAGCGUGCAAAUAUUUCUUAAGAGCACGUUGUAAAAAGAAGAAGUGCGCUGCUCUUCAGAAGCUACUAGUGUCAUUGAUACCUGAGUUUCACGAGGGAUUAUAAUAUCAACUCUCUUAUAUUGAUUAUCAAAAAUAAGAUUGUUUUACUUGUACCAGACUGCGAAACACGGAUACAGCUCUAAUCCGGCGUAUCCGUAUCGGAUACUGCAUGGAUACGGUGAUACGCCCGGAUACUCUUUGGUACGUAUUUUGCUCGUAUCGGAUAAUUUUUCGAUUAAAAGAAAAUAAAUAAUAUCCGAUAUGCGAGGGAUACCUCCCGAUACUUGUGGGAUACAGGAAACUAAACACCAAAAGAAGCCCAUCGGCCAUCGAUCUAUCCUAUCCAUCUCCCUUCUCUGUUCAGAUGGAAUGGCUGAUUGAUUUUUUGACUUCUCUUCUCUGAUUCUUCCUUCUCUGUCCAGGUCAGCCAUGGCAAGAAGAGUGCCAGCUUCAAUACAAUUUUUGGCUGCUUCUCAUAUAAUUUUUUUUCACUUUUUGUAUUUUUAUAUUUUUUUCACUGUAUUUUUAUUAUUUCUCAUAUAUAUAUAUAAACGUAUCGUCAUAUCUGCGUUUUAAAAAAAUUGACGUAUCACGCAUCUGUGCUUCCUAGGUACCAGAUUCUAAUACGACAACCUACAUUUUGACAGCAUGACUGCAUGGUUUCGAUCAUAUGGAAUUAUGGAUCUUGCUUCUGAGUACGUUGUAGAGAAGACCACUUCGGCACGUCCUUCUAGAGAACUAAGAUUUAUUUAUUUUAACGAUGAUACUGUUAGUAUGAUUACUACGAUACUUCUAUGUAAAUUCGCUUUUUGGUGUAUAUAGGCAACCUCUCGAAAGGAAAGAUAAACUUAUACAGUAUAGUUAAACUUAUACAGUCCGUGCACCUAAGAUGAUAUUUAUUGUAGCUAAUCAGUACUAGCUUAAUUUGUACACAUGGUCCGUACAUCUAAACAAACAUCAGCUGGGUCAUCUAAUAUCCUAACGAACAGGCCAUCGCGAUGAUACCUGUAUGCAUGCAUCAUCCAUGACUCUGUACAUCUUCUCGAUGAUGACCAUGUAGAUGAUCAUUUAUGAGACCUAAUUAAAGUUUUAAUUAGCGGGUUAUAGCGUUGUUAUAUAGCGCCACUAUAGCAGUUUGGGCGUAAUCCCGCUACAGCUACUCCCUCUGACCCAUAUUACUUGUCUCAAAUUUGCGCAAAUUUGGAUGUAUUUAUGUUUAAAAAGCGUCUAGAUACAUGUAAUAUUUCGACGAGUAAUUCCGGCCGGAGGGAGUAUAAUUUUUUAGCGCUAAACGGGAAAAACUAUAAUAGCGUCUCUAAGCUGCAUUUAGCGUUAACAUUGGACCUGAUUUAGCGCUAGAUCUUUGUCGCCAUCCCAAAAUAUUCAGCUCGGAAAAUCGUUACGUUCCCUCAAUCACCACAGGAGCUAUGUCCUCCUUUUCCGUUCCCUUUCUCUCCUAAAAAGCAGUUGUUGCCAGCGUUUGAUAUAUGAUGCUGCCAGUUUAGGAUUUUUUUACUUUUUCAUGAUUUUAGCAAAACUGCUAAACGGCUUAGCGCCACUAUAGUCUAUAUAUAGUUGUGCUGUAAGCUUUCUGAGAAGCCGCUGCUAAACGGCUCAGACCGUUAUUUCAGUUUUGAUGCGACCCAAUCGGGUCAUCAACAGACCUCGGACCGUGAAUAUAUCAGCUUGUGUACGGUCUCUGGUGGUAUAGCUAGAUCGAUGCUGAUGAGACGUGCACCCAUGGUUUCACCGAUGAGGAACACACUCUGACACUCAUAAGCUAGUAUGUGUUUGUGGUAUGUGGUGUGGACUGUGGAGGCGUAUCUGUAAUAAUCUGUCGUUUUACAUUGAUCUUGUUUUUUUUGCAUAGUUUUGUAUCUCCUAAAAUACUGUCUAGAACAGUAGAAUGUCAAUUUUGGGAUAUAGUUUUUGUGUAGUACGGAGUAGUACAUCUGAGCGACUUGCCUUUGCCAUGGCGGUUAUGAUCACGGUGGACGCCGAGAAGGGCGUGACAUUACUGUUGACGAUGCGGAGGUGCAGCUCCUCGACCUCGGCGAGCACCCUCACGGCCAGUCCCUUGCCAUUUUCACAGUGAAUCCUCACCACCACGUUGUUCUCCGAGAUUGUCGCUUUGAUCUCCGGCACUUGGUUGCUUGACGGAGUCCCAACCGCAGAGAACAACGGCCGCGGCCGAGAGCCUUGGUAGUCAGGCGCGAUCAGCACCACGGACUCGAUGCUCAUCCUACGGUCGCUGCUGGACGCCUGCAGGGACUUGAUCUUUUCUUCCAGCUCCUUGACGUAUCUCGCUGCGUCGGUAAGGAUCGUCCCCUUGUCCAUCUGCUCGAUCAAAGAUUGACCAAAGAAUUUAAUUCCCCAUGAUGAUGUGUUAUCAUGUUCUUCUCCAUCGGGAGUAGGAGUAGAUGAACAAGUGCAGAGGGGAUUCUGAUUUGUGAAGGGACCUUCUUGAGGCCGGGGAUGACGGUGGAGAGCUCGAUGAACCGCUGGUUCAUCGUCUCCCGGCGCUUCCGCUCCGCCAUGAUGUGGCCCUGCGACGACGACGAGCGGGCGGCCCUCCUUGGCGCCAUCUCCGGCACACCGCGCUCGCAAGCUGCGGCGGCGGCGUUGAAGCUCCAGCUCAUGGCGGGCUGGUUGUUGGCAGGGCCGCCGCGGCCCAUACUGAUGCUUCUGGGCUCGGGCGGCCCGCCCGAGUUCGGGGACGUGGACCAGCCGCCUUGCUGAUCCAUGGCCGCGUCCAAGCCGGCCGCCCAGCUUUCAAUUGCUUCCGUAGGUUCCUGGACCAAGGAGCCCGCGUGCGAAGCAGAGGCAUCGCAGAGCCCAGGGAGAGAAGUGAAGGCGUUCUCGCUGCCGCCGUCAUGGGCGACGGCUUCUGGGUCUUCCUGCUGCAGCGUGUUCACAGCCCACUGCAUGAACAGGCUCGAGUCGUCCAUGCCGUCCGUCCGUCUGGGCAAUCUAUGCUGCUGAUAUGACAUCCUGCGAUAUAUAUCGAGACAGAAAUGGCAAAUUAAGCACGUCACAGCUCUGAAAUUUUUUAUCAGAUGCAUAAUAGUAUCACCUGAACCACAAUUGCAGUAUGUUAAUCGUUUACCUCGCAUAAAUCCUUCUGCAGAUGAUAUGGACAAUCCAUCCAACCCACUAGCCGGUAUAAACUUAUAGCGCAGUAGCAGGUAUCCAUCCCAUCAUUCCCCUCCAGCCUGCUAGUCUGAUGUCGCUGUAAUAUUUGCUCACAUUAGGCCUCUCACGGACCCCCUCUCUUCUGUAAAAGGGCCAAUCAUGGUCAAUUAACAAUGACUUGUUGGAUGCCGGCAAUCUAGCCUAAUCAGCUGAAAGCGAUUUCCUAGAACACAUAAAGCUGCAUGUGGGGCAGAAAUACCAAAAUUCAGGAUGGUAGUGGCCUAGUGGGGGGAACUUUGUCCGUUGCCGGUUUCCAGGGAUUGAGCUCUCCUACGGCAAAUUGCCGUCCUAGCCACCAGCUCCACAUUUUAGGUUUAGGCCAAGUUUAGUUUGGGGAAAUCUUAUAGUAGGAAAAGUGAAGGAAAUAGUAAACCACAAAAGUGUGCUGUAUAUACGAUUAUAAUUCAGGAAUGCAUCAUGUGACGAGAGGAACGGAAAUUCCAAGAAAGAAUUAUCAUCCAUUCUGGUCUCCUUUUUCUUUUUCCAAUCACUGAAGACCGGGGCAGACGAAGCAACAAGAGCACUGACCGUUAUGGUGAAGGAGUGGAGAAGAAGAAAAACAAGAUGCAAAAUCAAAAUUACACAGAAAUAAGCGUGCAUGCAAUCAACUUUGCGUAUUCCUAAAGCAAAUGAGAUUACAAACUGAAAAUGUUGUAAGUAUGUGAUUAAUAAACCGAAAAGGAGGAAGUAUUUUACUGCAUCCCAAACAAGCUCUUGUGAGAUUUUCAUGUAUUCUCUUGUAAGAUUUUCGUGCACUUUCACAUUUCUCUGUUUUGCAGCUUGAUUCGUUCCAUGUUCUUGUUCCUGUGUUAUUCUCCAAGCAUUUGUUCUGAAUUCCUGUGUUAAGAUCUCUAGCCGUAGAUCGGUUGCUCCCGAGUUUCUUGGGCUGGUUUCGUUCCAAUGAAACUGGGAAGUAAUCACUGUUUAAAGAAAAUGUACCCUAACAACCCACGAUAAAUAGCCGAUAUGUAAUCAUCAGAUGGGAGACAAUUUCACUCAGAAACAAAGAGGAACAGCAGUCAAGUUUUUCCCUUUCCUUUUUUUAGAGUUUAUCAGGCCUUGUAUAAAUGGGAAAAGCCCCAAUUCAAAUGGGCCGUUUGAGCCCAGCAGAUAAGCAAUGAUUACUGGACCUUUUUCGUUUUUUAGCUAGAAUGAUGUAUCAAAGUCUUUUAUUUCGUGUACUUUUCGUCACGAGAGCAGUAACUCCAAUGUGGAAGCUCAUAGUUUAGUUAGAAGCACCUCGUCGCUUGAUGUGGGUCGCGGAGUGUGGUUUGGCCAGCCUCCCGGUGGUUUUUGUAUACCUAUUCAGGCUGUGGUCUAUCCUAAAAAAAAAGCUAGAAUGAUACGUUCCGAACACUGCUCUCUGCUUCCGGCCUUGGAUCGUUGCGGGUGCCUCCAAGAUGGGCCUACUCAGCAUCGUCCGAAAGAUCAAGCGCAAGGAGAAAGAGAUGCGCAUUCUCAUCAUGGUGUAGGUUCCCUCCACUCUCCGCUCUCAUUGGAUUCCACCUGCGCCAUUUGUCCCUAUUCGUGUGUUUUUUUUUAGAUUCUUGGUUCUGGAUCUAAUAGUAUUUGUGCUGUUGGUUUCUUGAUCCUUGGGCUGAUUGCCAUGUGAUGAGGCUUGUGGGUUCAUCACAGAUUCAAAAGGGACUGGACAACUCGGACAAGACGACAAUCGUGCUCAAGAUCAAUGGGGAGGGCAAGAGAGUUUUCUGAUUUUGUCCUGAACUAAAUCACUCGUAAAUGGAAGGCGCACUGUGCCCCAGUGUGUAUUUUCCAGUCUGUUAAACUGAAGCCAUAUACAACUAGCAUCAUCUCUUUGCCCACUCUAUCCAAGAAUUUCACCUUUUUCGACUGUAUUCCUGUUAAAUGAUUUCUUAAAUUUGAUCAAACAGACUUGAGGGAACUUCAUUGCUGUUAUCUGCAAAUAAGCGAAGAUAUUCAACGUUCCCUUAAUCCUGCAGAUAUUUCUAAGGUUAGCAAAUUUCAGUGAUGUACAGUACAAUCUACAUGACAAUCUCCUAUGUGCUUUUAUUUGACUUGGUUUACAAACAUCAGGUGUACAUAAUUCAAUCAGCUGUCUUCUGCCACGAUAAUUUAGCAAUACCAGCUUCAAGCCAACCAUGGCAAUUUCAGAGUUAAGCUUCAAGCCUGGAGGCUUCGGAACUAUAAUUGGGUUCUGGUGAUUCCUAAACAUGGUAUUUCUAUUCGCAAAAAGAAAUGGUAUUUCCCAGAUUGUAAAAUAGUUGGGCCGUUGCAACAACGGCGCAGUGCCUUGUUGACAAGUUGGAACAAACUGCUAUUUAACCAGAUGGAGGAAUCAACAACUUGCAAACAGAUAAAAAAGCUAACCAUGUUUGUUUCUAAUCAAAAAGGUAUUCUUGUGUCUCGAAUCAAAAUAUUCGCUGAGUAACAAAGAGAACAGAGUUCACGAAAGACAAGAGGAUAUGCGAACAAAACUUUGCUCAUUCUUUUUUCAUUCAUUCAUAGGGAUAGCGAACGGAACAGAACAGGAACACACGACAGGUAGCAUCACGGACAAACACCUAAUGGUAACCCUUAAACAUCUCAAACCCUACGCGAUGGAGCGAGAUCUAGGAUACUCGGGAGCGAUAACAUCACAGAUAAAAGGUAACAAGGAUAACUGGCCACGAGGGGCCCCACCAUUCACUCCCUCCAGUUGCCGCCGCCGGAGCCUCCACGGCUGCCACCGUAGCCGCCGCCGCCACCACCGUAGCCGCCGCCGCCACCAUAGCCGCCGCCACCUUGACGCUGGCCAUAGCCGCCACCGCCGCCACCACCGUAGCCGCCGCCGCCGCCGCCGUAGCCGCCGCCGCCGCCCUCACGUCGCCCGCCGUAGCCGCCGCCGCCUCCUCCGCCACGACCGCCGCCGCCACCACGGGACUGCGCUUCGUUGACGGUGAUGUUGCGGCCAUCCAGGUCCUUGCCGUUCAUGCCCUCGAUGGCGUCGCGCAUCGACUGCUCGCUGGCGAAGGUGACGAAGCCGAACCCGCGGGAACGGCCAGUCUCCCUGUCGUUGAUGAUCUGUGGACAGAAAAGAGCAUGGUCAGAUUUGUUUGCCAAGCCAAUGGCAAAGCGAAAGACGUAGAACAUCAGAUCUAGAAUUCAAAGACUUUGACCAAGUACGGAGUACAAACUAACAGAUGAUACGCAGAUCUAAGUUAACACAACACGAGAAAUAGGAAAACAACGACAUCUGCAUAACACGGCAGAGAUCUACAACAUAUAUAAUCACCAGAUCUGUACAAAGACGCGCAAAACCAAAAGAGGAUGCAGCAAACGAGAAGGUAACAGAGGAAAGCUCCUAGACAAACCUUGGAGUCGAUGAUCUCGCCGAAGGAGGAGAAGGCAUCCUGGAGACCACGGUCGUCGGUAGCCCAGGCGAGGCCGCCCACGAAGCAACGGUACUCAACUUCCGCCAUUCCUCCCACUAAACCCUAACGAACCGGAACCGGAACCGAGGACUAGUGAGGGGGAGGAGAAGCCAACCCACCUCUAUGAAAGCAC